CGCGUAGGCGGAUCGACCAGUCAGGGGUGAAAUCCCGGGGCUCAACCUCGGAACUGCCUUUGAUACUGUCGAUCUAGAGUCUGUGAGAGGGUGGCGGAAUACCCAGUGUAGAGGUGAAAUUCGUAGAUAUUGGGUAGAACACCAGUGGCGAAGGCGGCCACCUGGCGCAGUACUGACGCUGAGGCGCGAAAGUGUGGGGAGCAAACA
Molecule: ribosomal RNA, 207 nt
Filed under: uncultured bacterium
Lineage: Bacteria
Description: partial 16S ribosomal RNA
Rfam family: Bacterial small subunit ribosomal RNA
Source: RNAcentral